GCUGAGUUUAAAAAUGGCGUGCUCACCGGAUUAGGAAACUUUGACGUACAAAAUACAGAAUUCAUAACGGAGGGAAUUGCCAUUGAAUUGUCCAUGAAUUUUCCACUUAUCACUUUUCAAGCAGAAAACUACAAAAUGGCGGGAGCUGUUUUGGAAAUAAUACCAAUAGCUGGAAAAGGAAUAUUUGAAUUCCAAAUACACAAUCUGACAUUAUCAGGAAAGUUCUACUUGAAGCAGUCGGACGAUGAAAAAUCCAUAUUAAUUAAGGAAAUUUCUAAUUCUCAAUUCAGCAUACAACAAAUUGACUCUCAUGUGGAAUUCGACAAUAAUAUAGAUGACAUCGCAAACGCUAUUUUAACGGAUCUCUUAGCGGGAUACAUUAAUCGCUUCAAUCAGUUUUUCAUUAAAACAUACGGAG
Vanessa tameamea is the source of this 418-nucleotide long non-coding RNA. RefSeq lists it as uncharacterized. Lineage: Eukaryota; Metazoa; Arthropoda; Insecta; Lepidoptera; Nymphalidae. The record is from RefSeq and is a predicted model, not a curated record. The transcript is spliced from 4 exons.